Anas platyrhynchos (mallard) is the source of this 3532-nucleotide long non-coding RNA. RefSeq lists it as uncharacterized. NCBI's taxonomy places the organism in Eukaryota, Metazoa, Chordata, Aves, Anseriformes, Anatidae. The record is from RefSeq and is a predicted model, not a curated record.
AACCACAGUAGAGAUUACCAGCAGGAUAUAAAAUAAAAUCAUGAGAUUUCUCUCAACAUGAUUCCUAGUAUUUAAUCAUGUUGGGAACAUGCCUGUUACCCAUUGCCACCUCUUAGCUGAGACUGGUAGCGUUCCAGGGGAAGGUCAGCGGUUUUCUUGAGGAAUGCUACCUCCGGAGACAAAUCAUCUCCUUUUCCUGGGUGGUGGAAGGAUGCUUUGGUGCAGAGAAGUGUGUUGCUGACCAGACCUCCUCCAGAAUCUGACCGGCAUCCCAGAGGAUUUGUGCACAGUUUCUGGAAAACACAGUGUAUGCUGCUGAUAGAGAUAUGUCUCCUUUUUCUGCCAUCCAAAUGCCAAACAAAGAGGAAUGGAAACCAAAUGGAAGCAGAGUGCUUUUGUUCGUGAACUGAAAAAUUUAUGGAUAUUUGUAAAAAUGCAGAAGAACUUGGUCUGCUGCUGAGAAGCAAAGAUAAGAAGUAGAACCUGUCACUGGCAGGGUAUUUUGGGGUCAGCUUCAGGCAGGGUGCGUCAAUCCCUGGAUGCCCACGUGCAAGAAGGUCAAAGUAAUCAAAGUAUCUAAAAAGCACAUCACAGUAAUGUCUUGAAUGUUAGUAGAAAUCUGAUUGUGUGGACUCCAGGAGCAAUCAUUUUGUAUUGAGCAAUACUUCCUGCCUCACCAGGUAAAUACCCCUUGGAUCUUGGCUCUUCAUUUUCACAAAUGUAAGAACAUUUUUAAGCCUUAUUGGGACAGGCUGGGGGAGGCUGACUGGAGGGAUGUGAAUUUAAUGUGAAUGGAGGCACUUCUAAUGCUAAUAUACCUUCUAUAGCAUCAGUAAUAAAUGCUGGAAUAGGGCGUUGCUGGCAAGUUUAUAAUGACAGGCUGCAGCAGUGUCGUUUUCUGUUGCCAUUAUGAUCUGGUCCCGCUAACUGGGCUGGAGUGCUUUAAGGCUCCGUGCUUUCUUUGAAUUACGGCCUUUGCUUCUCGACUCUUCAGGAAUCUUUCAUUGCUGCCUCUCUCGACAUCUAUUUGCAGCUUCACCAUUGCAAUGAAAGGGAUCAACAAACACAGAGAAAAUUAAAGAGGCCAUUGCAUUAGAACACGUAACUAUUCACAAAAUAUAUUGGGCUAUAAAAUUGGUUACUUGUUUUCAUUACAAGGGCUCCAUGGCUAAUAUUAUAUUAUACAAAUUAGACCAUUCUUUUAACAAUGACUGUAAUGGGGAUGAUGUACUGAAAGCCUUAGUUUGUUCUUCUAACAGCAUCAAUAUUGAAAGUUUAUGUCCUCCUCUUAAUAGCUCUUCUCCUAAACAGAACUUACAUUUGAGGCCCAAAGACUUCUUUAAUUGCGCUGUGCUAAUUAGAAAUGACGCGUUAGUAGGAGUUUUACAGAUGCUAUGCAGCUGGCCACAGGAGGGCUACUUGCAACAUAACAUGAGUUCAGUAAUGUGGCACUUCCAGAUUAUGAUGGGUAUAAAAAUUACUUUUCUAAGCAGGCUUUUUGGAGGGAAGGAUGAAGUUUUGAGGAAAGCAAGCUUAAUUAUUCUAAUCUGAAGAGGUUAAAUUGAUGAUGAUGUCUUUUCAGGAAGGGGCCAAGAGAAAAGGGAAGAAAAUCAGGAUACAAAGUGAGAACAGCUAAGGAACAAAGAAGAAUACUAGGGUGGUGUGGGGAGUGAGGACUGAAAAGGUUAUAGUUGCUAAAGGUAUGAUCUGCUAGUGUUCAGAGAUUAUCUUUUUGGGCAUAUUCCCCUUUGCUUUUUUCUUAUGUGAAACAGCACAUCUCAUGCAAGAAAAGGUAUUUAAAUUUUUUUGUUUUUGCAUUGUGCUGACUUGGUUGCUGCUUUCCAUCUAGUUGAACCGGAUGGAAUUAUGUUUAUUUUGGCUGAAAUUCACCAGUUAAAUAUUUACUGUUUGGUGACUGAUGUCUACCAGCAGUGCUGAGGUCUGAUCAAUUUUAACUUCUCUUUCCACUGUACUUGGUGGUCCAAGUGAUGAGAAGGCUGUUUUUGCGUGUAGGAAUUUAUUACCCUGAUGUUUACAUAUUUUAAAUCAAAUCCUGCAUGCAGUUUCAGAUGUAGAUGCACGCGUAGGCUUCUGGUAAGAAACAAGGAUAAAUGUGCAUUCUACUGAAAAGUGAAACGCCUAAGAUCUCACAUUUUCAUGCAAAAACACGGUGAUACCUUAAUUCUCUAUUCCAGAAGAGCCUUCAGAUCUGCCCUCACUGCUCUGGUUGCUUGGGAUGCAGGCCAUGUCCAGUUAUUGUGGGGAGCUCUAACAACUGACAAAACCUUUAUCUAAACCUCCAUAUGGCACAUCACCGAAGUACCUAGACAUGUGCACUUUUGUCUUUGGUCAUUUCCUACAGAAAAUACAAUUAGGCUUGGCUGUCAGACAGAUGAAAUCUGUCACAUUCCUCCUGUAGGAGCUGAACUUGGUCCAGCCCAAUAAAUAGGAAGAAUACUCACCCAUAAAAUUGCAAGUGGCGCCUGUGAUUUCAAUGCACGUGGGCUAAGAUUCUGUGGAAUCUGGCACAUGCCACUUUCUGGCUGAACAGCCUGUUUCUGGGAUCAGCGCUGCUUCCCUGCUCUGCCACACUAAAAACCCUUGCAAUAAAGCUGCAGAUGGUUUUGCCACACCUUCCCUAAAAGGGCAGUUUCCUACAGAAAGCGGGACUUUGUAGCUUUCUGAGGAAGAACCUUACCAUCGAGAUUUGCUCAAAUCGCCUUACUAGAAAAACCUUAGGAAGUGAUUUGCUUUGUAUCGCUCCUUCUUGCAUCUUCAUAGUUUUUAACAUGCCCUGCCUGCUGUAGACAUGUCAAAGAGGAGGAAAAAAUUACGACCCAAUCAGAAGUUUCAUAAUGUCUUGUUUUCCUGUUCCUGAGUUAUCCAGCAGCAGGUCAUAUUUCACAGAGCCAUUUGUUAUUUGCAGUGGUUGAAAUCGGGCUGAUGUUGGACAGGCUUGUUACCCUCAGGUGAGCAGUCACAGGUAACUGCGUGCUGGGAGCUGUGCCUUGGGUUAGGUGGGGAUUUGGGCUGUGUGGAGCUCACCCAUUCCUUGGCUGCCUGGUUAUUAUGUUAUGGCCCCUCUUUCAAGGAUGGAGGGCUCCAGAUGCCCUUUACUGACAGCUAUGGGGGCAAGUUUGCAGAAUAAUUAUCACCAGUGGUGUAACGGACAGUAUAUCAUUCUCUUCUUUCACGUUAUUUCUGACAAAAUGCCUUUAGGUGUGCGUGUGACAAUUUUAUUUUCAAAAGGGCGCAGCCUUUUAUCACGGCAUUUCUCAGGGCAGCAGCUUGUGUAUUAGAGCAUCUGCCAGGGGGAAUUGAGGUAUUGCCUGUAUUUUUCUUGACACAACAUUGUAUUUCAUACUGUAAACCUAACAAGUAGGUGGAAUUAACUGAUCUUCACUUGUACCAUGGCUAUGUGUUAUCACACUUGAUUAUCACCUGUGUGCACAAAAUCCAUUUUGUAAAGUUGUCCUUUAGGACAUUGUAUGUCAACAAAACAUUAAAUGCUCUUUUCUUGUCCUGUCCUGUA